GGGAAAUUUACUCACUAUAUAAUGUUCAAAUAUAUACAAAAUAGUAAAUCCAAAAAUAAAGUAGCUAAAUCUCCACCACCACUACUAGCAGUGCUAUAACUCUCUACCCAAGUGGAAACAAAACCAGUACAAAAUCAUCAAAUCUUUAAAUAUAAUAGUCCAAGGAAAGAAAUUAGGAUGAAAAGAAAGCAUUUAGCAUGACCACAUUGACUCUCCCAAGCUUGCAUGGUCCACCAUAUCCAUAUCAAAAAUGGGCCUGACCUGUGAUCCCACGAGUCUAGACGAGGGAGACCCACUGUUACUCGGACUAGUAGGGCUCAACACGUGAUGUGAUAUGGUAGUCUGCCGAACCCUAAGGUGCACCACUUCGGCCUGAGCCAGUGCCAACUGGGUUUGGAGUACAUCGAUCUGUUGCUGUAGAGAGGAUAUAGCACCAACGCAGCCAUAGACAGGGUCACGCACUCUCGCAUUUGCUUCGUACACCAUGCUACUCACUGCAUCCCCUCUCUGAUGCACAGGGAGUUCCUGUAGCAUCUUAUUGACAUUGCUAGCACCAAAGACCUUGUGGACAUUAGCGAACUUCUGGGGCUCAUCUGCUGGGAAAUAAGGGGCAAAAACACAAUCUUGGGCACACCUUCUCCUCAGCAGCUUGCAAGCUGCACAUGGUGAUGCUGCACCUUGUUUUCUUCCACUCUCUUUCAUUUUUUUGGCCACGUGUCCCUUCCCCACCAACUAUAUUUUUUACCCUUAAUCUUUAGGGCACUUGUCCCCUAAAAAACAAAGCAAACCACAACAACCUACGGUCAAAUGGCAAAGAAAUAGGUAUUGCUGUAGCGUAGCUGCAGAAGCAGCAGCACAAGAAGAAGAAGGAGAAGAAGAA
This 880-nucleotide unclassified non-coding RNA is filed under the name Hevea brasiliensis (rubber tree). The record is from RNAcentral. Lineage: Eukaryota; Viridiplantae; Streptophyta; Magnoliopsida; Malpighiales; Euphorbiaceae.